Long non-coding RNA from Nerophis lumbriciformis (worm pipefish), 1252 nucleotides. RefSeq lists it as uncharacterized. The record is from RefSeq and is a predicted model, not a curated record. NCBI's taxonomy places the organism in Eukaryota, Metazoa, Chordata, Actinopteri, Syngnathiformes, Syngnathidae.
UUCUCAUUCAAUGCGUUUUCUUUAUUUUCAUGACUAUUUAUAUUGUAGAUUGUCAAAACUAUGAAUGGACACGUAUGGAGUUAUGUACUUAACAAAAAAAGGUGAAAUAACUGAAAACAUGCUUUGUAUUCUAGUUUCUUCAAAAUAGCCACCCUUUGCUCUGAUUACUGCUUUGCACACUCUUGGCAUUCUCUCGAUGAGCUUCAAGCACACCUGUGAAGUGAAAACCAUUUCAGGUGGAGCUGAUGGUGCAUCACCGAAAAAGAAAAGGAUUGACUUCACAGAAUGGGAGGAGGAUACACCUGUGCUUGUUGAUGAAGUAGAGGAUUAUUCCUCUACAGACUUCCAUCUCGACGGAUCAGCAGAGGAAAAUCUACUUUUCUUUUGGGGGAAACAAGGACAAUCAUUCCCACGACUACAACACCUUGCCAAGAGAAUCCUAUGCGUCCCAGCAACAAAUGGCGCAAGUGAGCGCUCCUUCAGCGCAGCAGGGCGCAUUUUAGAGGCCAGGCGCUCUCGCAUGAAUCCUGGCACUGUAGAUGCCAUUUUAUUCCGGCAUAGUGCUAACAAAAAAAAAGUAAGUAGUCAUACGGUUGGAUAUGUUAAACGAAUUAGUCUACGUUACUUAUAGGCUAUACCAAAUAAGCCCAUGUCUAACCUAUAUUGAGUUCAGUCAGCUGAAUAAUUUUGAUGGUUACGUGUUGUUUGGGCGCACUACAAUGCAAAGGAAUUAAGGCAAUUGCUUUGUUUAUUGUGGUUUUUUCUAGUCGAGAUAUACUACUGUGUGUUAAUUAUUUGGCCUCACUUUCAAGUGAAGCGCAUCUCCGAUUGGCUACAAUGUAAGGAUAUUUAGCCUGCUUUGUUUGUCGCGACCGUCUAUUUUCAUUAUAAUCCAAGUUUGAUGAUAAAGUGCAGUCUGAUGGGUUUGAUUUCCCCCCUUCAGCUUUUUGCCUUGGCCAAUAAGUUGCAGGCAAUUUAUUAUUAUUAUUUAUUUAAUUAAUUUUUGUUUAAAUAGGGAUGACAUACAUAUGUUAUUGUAUAAUUUAAGUUUGUGCGCGUGAUUGACAGCCUAAGGCUUAUGAGGCACAUUUUUUAUUUAUUUUUUAUUUCAACUUAAAAACGUAUGAGCCUAUGCCUACAACAUAGGCUAUGUGUUCAUCUUUAUUUUCCUGCCUGUUGUUGACAAUGGAGAUUGUCUGAUAUUUUGUCAUGGCUGCAGAUCAAUCAAUAAAGGUUCAUCUUUAUCGCGAAA